UCAAAUUUUAAAUCAAGGUUGAAAGUUCGAGAAGCCAGUUCAAAUUUCAAAUCGCCAAGAUCAACGCAAUCGGUCUGGAUAGAUGGGUGAGGAUGCUUUGUUUCUUGAAUAUUUUCUCUGUAUUACUGUUUGAUGAAGAUACUGUUGUUGAUGAUAUUUGUUUUGCAACUUUUCGGAGCUGAAGAAAAAUUAUAAGCGAAGUUAAGAUGAUGAAUCGGAAAAAGGCAAGAGGUAGAGGAGGAGAAGAGAAGGCAGAAGAAUUAUCGAGACAGGGCUAAAGAACUUAGAGAAGAUCAAAUUCGUGAUUAUGAACUUAUUUAGGUUUCUUUUAUAUUUUGCUCCUCCUGGUGCGGUUAAUCUAAGGCCAGAAAAUGCUAUGAAGAUAUCCAUUGAGAACAGGUAUGUCGGAGGUAAUCCGGAACUUAUGAAAAGCACACUCUAUAGUUGGCAUGUAUUUUACUUGGAUUGAGGCUAAUGUUCAAGAAUUUGGGAUGCAUAGAUUAUGUCAUGAACGUGUUCGAUGAAAUGUUGAUUAUAAAUCUUAAUUAUGUACAAGUUGAGUCAGUUUGAGACUAAUUUCAAAUUUGCUGUUCAAAAGCAUUUUGUUUAGGUGUGUUUAAAUUCCAAAUGGAACAAGCAGGAGAAGCACAGAAAAGCAAGUUACAGACGUGAAUGGAUGUUGUUACUGAAGUAUUGCUAUGCAUGUGAUCCAUAUAAUUUGCCAGCACAAAGGAGACAGAUUUCGCUCUUGCAGCACUUAUGGAAAUACGUACACAGUACAAAGCAACACUAGAGCAUAUUGGGGUAUCAUAGAAAUGGCUGUUAGAACUGUGGAGAACACCGGUGGCCAAUAUCAUGUUCAUCUCACUAUUGCAGACGUUCAGAUUAGUCAUUUUGUGGCUGUGGUAUAGAGUCUUAGUCAUUUCGGGUUAUUUGGUGUAAUUUGGAACAUUCAAUCUAUAUACAGUUUUUAAUAAUGACCAAUUUUCACUAUAAAAAGAAUGUCCAGCUCAUUCGUAUUGAUAUUGCUGUGAAAAAGAUAACACAAAGAGUUGACGUCGGCCACCUAAUUCUGUUGUAGUGAUUACCAUUACAGUUGUUUUGGUUGGUGUAGUGACUGGGCGUGGGAUAUGAUGCGUGAAUUUGAUGGUAACAUUCCUCUCAAGCUUUUGAUAAUUUUCAGUUGUACAUUUUCGCGCAGGGCUUGGAUAUGGAAUGCAAAUCUGGCUUGAUAACUUUUUUAUGGUGCAUUUUCCGGCUGAUAUCCGAACUAAGCUUGGCAUCAAAGUUCAUUCUAUUAUCACAUUGUAUUGGGAAACUAUUUGUUUUUUUUUGUAUAUGAAAUAUCCAACUCAGAUAACACGUGCAGCGCACGAGCCCUUUACUAGUUCUAGUUGAAUGAAGCAAAGGAAUCACUCAAAACUGUGAAUAGAGUAGGCAGAUAUUCGUUUAAUUCAACCUAAAUUGCAGAACCUUUUCAAGCUUGA
This is a long non-coding RNA of Papaver somniferum (opium poppy), 1487 nucleotides long. RefSeq lists it as uncharacterized. The transcript has 5 exons. NCBI's taxonomy places the organism in Eukaryota, Viridiplantae, Streptophyta, Magnoliopsida, Ranunculales, Papaveraceae. The record is from RefSeq and is a predicted model, not a curated record.